UACGAAGGGGGCUAGCGUUGCUCGGAAUCACUGGGCGUAAAGCGCACGUAGGCGGACUGCUAAGUCAGGGGUGAAAUCCUGGAGCUCAACUCCAGAACUGCCUUUGAUACUGGCGAUCUCGAGUCCGGGAGAGGUGAGUGGAACUGCGAGUGUAGAGGUGAAAUUCGUAGAUAUUCGCAAGAACACCAGUGGCGAAGGCGGCUCACUGGCCCGGUACUGACGCUGAGGUGCGAAAGCGUGGGGAGCAAACAGG
RNAcentral lists this ribosomal RNA (253 nucleotides) under uncultured bacterium. RNAcentral's name for it is "partial 16S ribosomal RNA". It matches the Rfam family "Bacterial small subunit ribosomal RNA", at positions 524 to 776 of the family's 1533-position model. The record is from RNAcentral.